AUGAACGCUGGCGGCGUGCCUAAUACAUGCAAGUCGAGCGAACGGACGAGAAGCUUGCUUUUCUGAUGUUAGCGGCGGACGGGUGAGUAACACGUGGAUAACCUACCUAUAAGACUGGGAUAACUUCGGGAAACCGGAGCUAAUACCGGAUAAUAUUUUGAACCGCAUGGUUCAAAAGUGAAAGACGGUCUUGCUGUCACUUAUAGAUGGAUCCGCGCUGCAUUAGCUAGUUGGUAAGGUAACGGCUUACCAAGGCAACGAUGCAUAGCCGACCUGAGAGGGUGAUCGGCCACACUGGAACUGAGACACGGUCCAGACUCCUACGGGAGGCAGCAGUAGGGAAUCUUCCGCAAUGGGCGAAAGCCUGACGGAGCAACGCCGCGUGAGUGAUGAAGGCCUUCGGAUCGUAAAACUCUGUUAUUAGGGAAGAACAUAUGUGUAAGUAACUGUGCACAUCUUGACGGUACCUAAUCAGAAAGCCACGGCUAACUACGUG
RNAcentral lists this ribosomal RNA (496 nucleotides) under uncultured bacterium. RNAcentral's name for it is "partial 16S ribosomal RNA". It matches the Rfam family "Bacterial small subunit ribosomal RNA", at positions 29 to 507 of the family's 1533-position model. The record is from RNAcentral.